This 240-nucleotide long non-coding RNA is filed under the name Salvia miltiorrhiza (redroot sage). Its description in RNAcentral is "long non-coding RNA (SMIL_LNC002552)". Lineage: Eukaryota; Viridiplantae; Streptophyta; Magnoliopsida; Lamiales; Lamiaceae. The record is from RNAcentral.
UGUUAUAAAAAAUACAAAAAACUGUGAAGCAUGAUAUGAAAAAAAAUAAAUACUUAUAAUACAUAACGUAAAAAUCAUACUCCCUCCGUCCCACUCCAAUAAGCUCGUUUUCCUUUUUGGGACGUCCCACUCCAAUAGGCCCAGUUUAAAAUUAGUAAUAAUUAGGAUUUCUUAAUUCUUAAUUAAGAAAGGAUAUACACCCUUUCAUUUCUCAUUUUGACUUCAUUCCUCACCAUUGUC